CACCGCGGUUAUACGAGAGACCCAAGUUGACAGACUCGGCGUAAAGAGUGGUUAUGGGUACAAUAAGCUAAAGCUGAACGCCUCUCAGGCUGUUAUACGCCCCCAGAAGGCGGAAACUCGCAGACGAAAGUAGCUUUACCAGAUAGACCAGAGCCCACGAUAGCUAGGGUA
This 171-nucleotide ribosomal RNA is filed under the name Spratelloides gracilis (silver-stripe round herring). Its description in RNAcentral is "partial 12S rRNA". The record is from RNAcentral. Lineage: Eukaryota; Metazoa; Chordata; Actinopteri; Clupeiformes; Clupeidae.